GCUUUCGGGCUCGGCGCAGUCUGCGGGCGGGAGGGCGCCGGCGAGGUGGCGAGGGCGGCUGGCGCGGGGGCGCGGGAGCCCCGGCUAAGCCCGGGGACGGGAGGGCGCCCCCUCCCAGCGCCCGAACCCAGGCAACUUCCCGCCGCCCGGGCAGGAGUUUCUCCGUAGCCCACGGACAUCCGGGAGGCUUGUGGAGGGCAGGCGGGUAACCCCCACUCCCACCCCACCUUUAUCCAGGGGCAGCCAGAGGAGCCAGCAGGUCGGGACUCGCUGAGGGGGCUCCACGCGGGGCCUCCCACGCACAGGGACAGCGUCUGCUAUGUUGUCCAGGCUGGUCUCAAAUUCCUUGCCUCAAGCGAUCCAACUGCCUCAGCCUCCCGAGUCACUGGGAUUACAGGCAUGAAGACAUUGUUUUCAAGGGAUCACUCUGCUUUGUGGAGACUAGACUGUGAGGAGCAAGCCUCGAAAGGGGAGAGCUGUUUCGAGGUAAGAGAUGGUGGCUGGUGGAGGGGGUGAGAAGCAGGUCAGAGUCUUUUCAAAGACAUAACAAUGUUUGCUGAUGGCGAGGUAAAGUGACAGGAAGGAGCCAGAGAGGACUCUGAGGUUUUUGCCCUAAAGCUGGAAAUAGGACUUUCAUUUCCUGAUGUAGGAACAGGUGAGAUCCCACAGGGAAAGCCCACAGCACUGUGCUUCAAGUGAGCACUGGAUACACGGAAGUGCCGGACAUGCAGAAUCCACGGAGGAGAAGCCUUGGAAGAGGAGGCCCCCGGGGAUGCCAAGAAGAGAGCACCCUCAGUGGGGGCAGGCCCCUGUGUUCUCCACUGCAGCCUGCUCCACAGCCACGCCCUCCCAUCCAUGGCUACACACUCACAUUCUGGGCCUCUUCCCUGGACCAGAUUGCACAGCAGGGCCGCUCUCUCCAGUGCCUCCAGCUGGCCCCUGCUGACAAGUCCGUGUUGUGUCAUGUUGGGAGUCUGGGCAAGGCACGAGGGCCCCUCUCUAGCAGGUCCCGAUGGCUCCUCCACACCUUCAGGAAAAGCAAGAGAUAAACCAUUGCAUGCUGAGCUCUGCAGGGAACUGGAGGCGGACACCAUCCAUUCUGCAAACCUGCAAUGGUGACACUUCUGGAAUCUCCUUGCCUCUUCCAGGGCUGCAGCCUCUAAGGCAGGGCCCAAAGCAGGAUGGAGAUAAAGAUGCCCAGAAGAAACCAAAGCCUUCUUGGGGGAAACUGUAAGAAGUCAGGAGGGAAUUCUUUAUUAGAAAUUGAAGAUCCCGCUGGGCGUGGUGGCUCAUGCCUGUAAUCCCAGCACUUUGGGAGGCCGAGGUGGACAGAUCACCUGAGGUAGAAGUUCGAGACCAGCCUGGCCAACAUAGCAAAACCCCAUCUCUACUAAAAAUACAAAAAUUAGCCGGGCGUGAUGGCACGCACCUGUAAUCCCAGCUACUCAGGAAGCUAAGGCAGGAGAAUCACUUGAACUUGGGAGGUGGAGGUUGUAGUGAGCCAAGAUGGCGCCAUUGCACUCCAGCCUAGGCAACAAGAGCGAGACUCCAUCUCAAAAAAAAAAAAGAAAAAGAAAAGAAAAGAAAAAAAAAGAAAGAAAGAAGUUGAAGAUCAAAGCUGGAGACCAGGACUCUUGACAAAUCUGACCAGAUUUGAAACACACCUAAGAAAUGUAAGACUCAAUUAAUUCUACAUGAGCCUAAGAAUUAAACCAAAUAAAGAAUGACAACACAAGUAAUGAGGAUACUGGCUUAUGCCUAGGUGUUUGUAUUUCUUUAGGUCUAACUCCAACUGUAUAUCCUAUUUUAAAUUAAUAUUUGUUAUUCUUUGUUUUUUGUUAUUUUAAUAAAAAGCUCUAUUUAAAUGUAUUUAAAUAACAUUAGCCAGAUGUGGUGGCUCAUGCCUGUAAUCCCAGCACUUUGGGAGGCUGAGGCAGGUGGAUUGCUUGAGCUCAGGAGUUUGAGGACAGCCUGGCCAACAUGAUGGAACCACGUCUCUACAAAAAUACAAAAAUUAGCCAGGCAUGGUGGCACACACCUGUAGUCUCAGCUACUUGGGAGGCUGAGGUGGGAAGACUGCUUGAGCCUGGGAGGUUCAGGCUACCAUGAGCCUUGAUCACACCACUGCUCUCAAGCCAAGGCAACAGAGUGAGACCCCAUCUCAAAACAAAACAAAAAGAGAACACUAAUGCCGUUAGAAAAGAAUGCUUUCAUUACUAACACCACUGGGGAGCCAAGCAAUUCAAACCCGCCUGACUCCAUGUGGCAGCUUAUUUCAAGUACAGGCAAGGAGACUCAAAGGAAAUAAACAGUGUGUGGGGGUUCUAGCGAUGCAAACCUAUAAGGUUCUUGUAACUAUCAUAAUGCUUGAUCAAUACUUAUUAACAAACCACAUUCUAGGAGGAACAAGUUUUAAAAGCCUGAAAAUUGGACAGCCAACGUCCU
Molecule: long non-coding RNA, 2445 nt
Filed under: Homo sapiens (human)
Lineage: Eukaryota; Metazoa; Chordata; Mammalia; Primates; Hominidae
Description: non-protein coding lnc-LEP-2:7
Source: RNAcentral